RNAcentral lists this long non-coding RNA (1384 nucleotides) under Ictidomys tridecemlineatus (thirteen-lined ground squirrel). Its description in RNAcentral is "lncRNA (ENSSTOG00000030524.1)". The record is from RNAcentral. Lineage: Eukaryota; Metazoa; Chordata; Mammalia; Rodentia; Sciuridae.
CUGAAGCUUGUCCUGUCUGGAAGCCUACUGAUAUUAUCCAACCUCCAUCUAUUAGCCUUUGCCACGCAACUCCUGCUGCAGUUAAAAGAUUUCAGAACUGCAGCCACUGGAUGAUGCAGAGUAAAGGCAGUGAAAGAAUUAUUUUCCAAUACUUUAUGAGGGAACAUUGGAAUACUUGCAUAAAAGAAACCUCUUCAUUUCAACAUCACCUUUCCAAGAAUGAUUGAUUGAUUCACCAGUACUGGAGAUUGGACUCGGGGGCACUGUACCACUGAGUACCACAUCCCCAGCCCUAUUUAUUUUUUAUUUUGAGUCAGGGACUCACUAAGUUGCCCAGGUUGUCCUUGAACUUGCCAUCCUCCUGCCUCAGCCGCCCCAGUUGGGAUCACAGGCAUGUGCCAUGGAACCUGUCUCCCUUCAAAGAUUUCAAACCAGAAUGAAUGCGGAUAUAACUGAGAAGCCUUUUUCAGUGACGUCCGCAUAUCCUAAUUCCACAUAGACAGUGGUAUUAACGGAGAUAACUAAAUAUCCAUAGCAACCGUGGAAAACAGAUCGCUUAUGAAGCCUUUCUUGCAAGUCACUUCCUUUUGUGAAGCCUCAUUCAGCCCCAGAGAGAAAUAAAUGUUCUCGUAACCUCGCUCCAUCCAAGACCAUGACAGUGAAUUUCCUUUCCACACAGCCACUUCCCACCCUCCACUGGGAGACAGUGACUCCUUCCAAGGACAUGCCAUGGUGGGUGUCUGGGGCUGUGUAAGGGGAAGGAAUAUCCACUGGGUACUUUGGGGUAUUUGACAAAAGCAAAGCCUGAUUCAGGUCCAGGUGGAUUGUAAAUGUUGGAUAAAUAUUAACACUCACCCCUCCCUUCCUUCAUCCUGACACAUUGAACAGAUAUUUACAAAGAAAUCCCCUCAAAAAUAUUCUGUGCACCACAGCUGCUGGUCCUUCUGACUGCUGCCUGCCUUUUGCCUUGGUGACUGGCUCUGCGGGCAGACCCUGCAGUAUGACUCAGCGUGUUGAAAUCUGGCUUUGAGAGUCACAACUCUCAAACCUGCUUUGACUAUCAGCAGCAGCUGACUGCAAUGAGUCUCUGGGGACCCUACUCCAGUGGUAAUGCUCAAAAGGAGUGAACUAGUGUUCCAAUAACUUCCAAUUAAAUGUUGCUGAAACUCAGAAGAGUACGCCUUGUCCUUAUGAAAAGUUCAGAGGCUCUGAGGGCCUCUCUUGUGAGUAAGUUUGCUCAGGACUCUCUGAGGCCCACCUUACCAACUUGAGCUGUGACACUAAGGAUGUACAUGGAACUGUGACAAUAAUGACGGUGGCAAUAAGAGCAAAUCAUACCAAUAAUAAAGGCAUCAUUGAGCACUUAUUAUUUGCUAGAUGCAUG